This 449-nucleotide ribosomal RNA is filed under the name uncultured bacterium. Its description in RNAcentral is "SSU rRNA". It matches the Rfam family "Bacterial small subunit ribosomal RNA", at positions 26 to 518 of the family's 1533-position model. The record is from RNAcentral.
AGAGCGAACGCUGGCGGCAGGCUUAACACAUGCAAGUCGAGCGGGCGUAGCAAUACGUCAGCGGCAGACGGGUGAGUAACGCGUGGGAACAUACCUUUUGGUUCGGAACAACCCAGGGAAACUUGGGCUAAUACCGGAUAAGCCCUUACGGGGAAAGAUUUAUCGCCGAAAGAUUGGCCCGCGUCUGAUUAGCUAGUUGGUGAGGUAACGGCUCACCAAGGCGACGAUCAGUAGCUGGUCUGAGAGGAUGAUCAGCCACAUUGGGACUGAGACACGGCCCAAACUCCUACGGGAGGCAGCAGUGGGGAAUAUUGGACAAUGGGCGCAAGCCUGAUCCAGCAAUGCCGCGUGAGUGAUGAAGGCCUUAGGGUUGUAAAGCUCUUUCGCCCGUCGACGAUGAUGACGGUAGCGGGAGAAGAAGCCCCGGCUAACUUCGCGCCAGCAGCCGC